RNA transcript from Jatropha curcas, 1868 nucleotides. It is a transcript of the gene named S-adenosyl-L-methionine-dependent methyltransferases superfamily protein, with no coding region annotated. The record is from RefSeq and is a predicted model, not a curated record. NCBI's taxonomy places the organism in Eukaryota, Viridiplantae, Streptophyta, Magnoliopsida, Malpighiales, Euphorbiaceae.
UGAUAUAUACAACGUUCAUGAGAAUCGGGGGUGAAAGAUUUUCAAGAUAAAGAGAGGUGACAUGGCUUGUCUUCAUCUCUGUUUACCUUCAACAUACAAUUCACGACCUCACAUUUCUCGGUUCAAUUACCGGCUGGUUCGAUGCGCUAACGAACGCCGGGAGCUCUUUAGCCGCAUUUCUCCUGUUUAUGAUAAUUUGAAUGAUUUGCUGAGUUUGGGUCAACAUCGAAUAUGGAAACGAAUGGCUGUAUCCUGGACUGGAGCAAAAAUGGGAGACAAUGCCUUGGAUUUGUGUUGUGGAAGUGGAGAUUUGGCAUUUCUUUUGUCUGAGAAAGUUGGCUCCUAUGGCAAGGUGACUGGUGUUGAUUUCUCAAAGGAGCAAUUAUUGAUUGCUUCAUCUCGGCAACAGUUGCUUUCAAGGGACUUCUACAAGAACAUCGAGUGGAUUGAGGGUGAUGCAACUAAUUUGCCAUUUUCUGAUUGUCAAUUUGAUGCUAUUACUAUGGGUUAUGGACUACGAAAUGUGAUUGAUAAGCAUAAGGCCAUGCAGGAGAUGUUUCGAGUUUUGAAACCAGGUGCAAAAGUAUCUGUUCUUGACUUCAAUAAGGGUACUCAACCAUUUAUUUCUUCUUUUCAGAAUUGCAUGAUCGACAAUGUUGUUGUCCCUAUGGCAUCUCGUUAUGGCCUUGCAAAGGAGUAUGAAUACUUGAAGAAUUCAAUCAGAGAAUUUUUAACAGGUCAUCUUGGAUAGAAGGAACUAUUGGUGACAGUUGCAAUUGAUGCAGAAAGGCCAGAAUUAAGUGGGUACCAUGGAUCCUCACAUGUGUCGUUCAGUUCCAUAGUCCUCUCGUCUAUGAAAGGGGGAUUAGAAGGUGCUGGGAGAUUAUCCUCUGUUGUUAGCAUCUGCAGCGUCUUUGCCAUUGUUGGUCGAAGUGAUGGCAUCUCUUGUGUACAGAGUAGUCCUAUUUGCACUACUCUAUAAACAUCAUUCUUUAUAUUACUGUUAUGGUGGUUAUGUAACAUUAGGUUUGGGUCAUAAAACUCCUCCACAGUCCCUGUCUGAAAUUUCUUCCACGUCUAUUUUUCAAAAAAUUAAAAAGAUAAAUUUCUUCAUUGCUGUGUAAAGAUUAAAUGGAACCAAAAAAAGAAUCAAGAAAAAGUGAGAUUCUUGGAACUUACAAGUGUAACUAGGCUAUCAGUAUAUUCUGAGGUUUUGCUCCGGUUGUUCUGCCUUCCUGUGACGAUCUCCAACAAAAGCACACCGAAGCUGUAGACAUCUGCCUUUUCUGUUAACUGGCCAUGAGCCAAGUAUUCUGGGGCCAUGUAUCCACUGCACAUAUAUAAUUGAAAUUAUCGCUUGAUGGAAUGUGUAUAUAUAUAAGAUAAUGUUAUGUUCAUAUGUAAAUAUUCAAAUGAAACAUUGCAAGUUACUGGAAUUCAUGUUCAACUGACUGACAAACAAUAGAUAUACUCACAGUGUUCCUGCAAUGGCUGUGCUGAUGUGACUCUUAUCUUCUUGGAAAGACCUGGCCAAGCCAAAAUCUGCAAUUUUAGCACGGAAUCUUGAAUCCAAUAAUAUGUUGCUGGCCUUUAUGUCUCUGUGAAUGAUCCUGAUCUUCGAGUUUUCGUGAAGGUACUUGCCGAAUAUAAAACGAUCAAGACUCUUGUUUGGCAGGAAUUCAUAGACAAGAAGGCUUUCAGGACCAGAACAACUGCAUCCCAACAACCUGACCAGAUUUUUGUGCUCCACAGUACUUAUGAUGUUAACCUCAUUGUAAAAAUCUGCUGCUCUGUGUCUGUUGUUAAAGAAAAGUCUCUUUACAGCAAUCUCUCUUCCAUCUGGCAACACUCCCUGAUUGAAAGAAAAA